CAGAGUUCAUGCCCUUCGGGGUAGACCUCCCACCCAGUGUAUUUAUACCUUUGUUGCUCUGGCAGGCACUCCCUAGCCGGAGGACCCUAAAACCUGAAUGUUAGUGUCGUCUGAGUACUAUACAAUAGUUA
This 131-nucleotide unclassified non-coding RNA is filed under the name uncultured Helotiales. Its description in RNAcentral is "sequence contains ITS1". Lineage: Eukaryota; Fungi; Ascomycota; Leotiomycetes; Helotiales. The record is from RNAcentral.